AUUACUUCUAAGCUUUUUUGCUGAGAUCAAAUGUAGUAUCUGUUCCUAUAAGUUUAAAAUAUUAUUUGCUAGUACUAAAUUUGAUUCUCU
Molecule: small nuclear RNA, 90 nt
Filed under: Fukomys damarensis (Damara mole-rat)
Lineage: Eukaryota; Metazoa; Chordata; Mammalia; Rodentia; Bathyergidae
Description: U2 spliceosomal RNA
Rfam family: U2 spliceosomal RNA
About the family: U2 is a small nuclear RNA (snRNA) component of the spliceosome (involved in pre-mRNA splicing). Complementary binding between U2 snRNA (in an area lying towards the 5' end but 3' to hairpin I) and the branchpoint sequence (BPS) of the intron results the bulging out of an unpaired adenosine, on the BPS, which initiates a nucleophilic attack at the intronic 5' splice site, thus starting the first of two transesterification reactions that mediate splicing.
Source: Rfam by way of RNAcentral